Molecule: transfer RNA, 73 nt
Filed under: Leptospiraceae bacterium
Lineage: Bacteria; Pseudomonadati; Spirochaetota; Leptospiria; Leptospirales; Leptospiraceae
Also listed under: 1 other name
Description: tRNA-Phe
Rfam family: tRNA
About the family: Transfer RNA (tRNA) molecules are approximately 80 nucleotides in length.
Source: RNAcentral
GCCCAGAUAGCUCAGUCGGUAGAGCAGGGGACUGAAAAUCCCCGUGUCGGUGGUUCGAUCCCGCCUCUGGGCA